This is a long non-coding RNA of Paramisgurnus dabryanus, 1292 nucleotides long. RefSeq lists it as uncharacterized. The record is from RefSeq and is a predicted model, not a curated record. Lineage: Eukaryota; Metazoa; Chordata; Actinopteri; Cypriniformes; Cobitidae.
GUUAAUCUUUCAUCGCAUGCCAUAAAAAUAUCAAAGGCUCUCAAAUAUACGCAGAUAGAUAACACGAUGGACGCUCCCAGAGGAAAUAUGCGUCUGCAUAUUUGCUUCCAAAUAUGGGGCAAACUUCUGACAUGGAAGAGCACCUUGGGAAGAGCAAGGCAGACUGUGCGAACAUCUAAUGAGGAUGACAUGUCUUUGUUCCUGCUCAGAAGCCCUCAUUAGGGAUGUAGACUAGGAAGAAUGCAGCAGGGGAGGCAGGGAGCAGCUGGCAGUCUAUGGCACCAUCUGACCCUUAUUGGGCACCGUUUACAAGCAGCAGGAAGGAAUGAAUAAGACCACCAGUAAAGCUGGACAGAUCAACACUGACUGACUGACUGAAAAAUAUUAUUCUACGCUUCAAAUGCUAUGAAGCUGGGCCAACGGAAAAUGAUGAAGGACAUAAAUUGAGGGGUUUUCCACAGCACAGGAGAGAGAGAGAGAUAAAGCAAGAGAAAUAUACUGGGAAAAACAGUAAUUGGUUCCUUUUGAGAGGUCAGAGGUCAGACUUAUAACAGCUUGAGGCACUUGCAUCAACCCAACUGCAAAGCAUUCAAAUGAAAAAUAAAAUAAUUUGUGUGCCUAUAACAGUAGGAUUGAAUGCCUAUUGUCUGUAUAAUUUAAAUAAGUAACAUGUACAAAAUACACAGCAUUACAACUCACUCAAGUCUACAAAAAUGGCAAUAAAAACUGAUUCAACGCAUAUGCUGAGCCUGAUACAGAACCGCAAUACACUCAAUACAACCAACCCAUCUGGGCAUUGCUUUGUGAUGGUGUCUUAGCUAGUAAAAACGAGCUCUGAUAUAAACCAAUAAACACUUAAAUCAGAUCACAUGCAGAACAACAUCUGAGGUGACAUAAACUGAUCCAACACAAUAACUGAAUCACUAGUGCUGCCCCCUGGUGGCUGAAACAAAAAAUUCAUGUAUACAGCUGCAGUUCUCUUGAUAUGCAAAAUUAUGUAUCACUACAGAAAAUGUCGCAAUCAUGUGUUUGUUAUAAAGUUAUACACCAGAGUCUUAAGAGGCUGUGGUUGUAUGGGGUGGAUGUAGGUAGUAAUUAUACUAGUUUCCUGUUCAAGUUAAAGACCUAUGACAUUUCAAAGCCUGACCCCUUAAGUAACCCACCAGAGAAUAAGGUUGCGUGACGAGAUGUUGGGUCACUACAGCAUACUGAGAAAAGGAAAUGCAUAUUUGGUAAGCAUGUGGUCUUACAUGAGACCUUGCAAUUUUUUGUAAACUUUAGACCAGUGUUUC